This 502-nucleotide ribosomal RNA is filed under the name uncultured bacterium. Its description in RNAcentral is "partial 16S ribosomal RNA". It matches the Rfam family "Bacterial small subunit ribosomal RNA", at positions 30 to 523 of the family's 1533-position model. The record is from RNAcentral.
AUUGAACGCUGGCGGCAGGCUUAACACAUGCAAGUCGAGCGGGGUGAUGGUGCUUGCACUAUCACUUAGCGGCGGACGGGUGAGUAAUGCUUAGGAAUCUGCCUAUUAGUGGGGGACAACAUCUCGAAAGGGAUGCUAAUACCGCAUACGUCCUACGGGAGAAAGCAGGGGAUCACUUGUGACCUUGCGCUAAUAGAUGAGCCUAAGUCGGAUUAGCUAGUUGGUGGGGUAAAGGCCUACCAAGGCGACGAUCUGUAGCGGGUCUGAGAGGAUGCUCCGCAACAGGGGGACGGAGACACGGCCCAGACUCCUACGGGAGGCAGCAGUGGGGAUUAGUGGAAAAUGGGGGGACCCCUAAUCCAGCCAUGCCGCGUGUGUGAAGAAGGCAUUAUGGUUUUAAAGCACUUUAAGUUGGGAGGAAGGGCAGUAAGCUAAUACCUUGCUUUUUUGACGUUACCGAAAGAAUAAGCCCCGGCUAACUCUGUGCCAGCCGCCGCCGUAA